GUCGAGCGGAUGAAGAGAGCUUGCUCUCUGAUUCAGCGGCGGACGGGUGAGUAAUGCCUAGGAAUCUGCCUGGUAGUGGGGGACAACGUCUCGAAAGGGACGCUAAUACCGCAUACGUCCUACGGGAGAAAGCAGGGGACCUUCGGGCCUUGCGCUAUCAGAUGAGCCUAGGUCGGAUUAGCUAGUUGGUGAGGUAAUGGCUCACCAAGGCGACGAUCCGUAACUGGUCUGAGAGGAUGAUCAGUCACACUGGAACUGAGACACGGUCCAGACUCCUACGGGAGGCAGCAGUGGGGAAUAUUGGACAAUGGGCGAAAGCCUGAUCCAGCCAUGCCGCGUGUGUGAAGAAGGUCUUCGGAUUGUAAAGCACUUUAAGUUGGGAGGAAGGGCAGUAAGCGAAUACCUUGCUGUUUUGACGUUACCGACAGAAUAAGCACCGGCUAACUCUGUGCCAGCAGCCGCGGUAAUACAGAGGGUGCAAGCGUUAAUCGGAAUUACUGGGCGUAAAGCGCGCGUAGGUGGUUUGUUAAGUUGAAUGUGAAAUCCCCGGGCUCAACCUGGGAACUGCAUCCAAAACUGGCAAGCUAGAGUAGGGCAGAGGGUGGUGGAAUUUCCUGUGUAGCGGUGAAAUGCGU
Molecule: ribosomal RNA, 635 nt
Filed under: bacterium 60-L049658-122-015-D08
Lineage: Bacteria
Description: bacterial SSU rRNA
Rfam family: Bacterial small subunit ribosomal RNA
Source: RNAcentral